GGAAAGAGGAGGCAGCCAGAGUGUUCUCUGCAGCAGAAGACCCCUUGCUGCACUGCUUAACCCAGACCAGCAUUUGUCAGCUUAUGAAAUACUUCUCAAGAGAUACUCAACAUUUCCUACCCAUUAUACAGAAGGGAAAGGGGCAGAAAUCUGGACUGUACCACUUUGGACUGCAGUUGGGCUUUGGAAUGCCAUGCAUGGUGAUUCGAGGCAACAAAGUAUGUGUGCAGAGACAAGAAGGACGCACAGGUGUACCUGUCACUAAUUCCAUGUGGGGCACACAUGGGGAAGAAGAAAGGCAGGGGAAGAGGAAAGCGGCACUGCCACAGG
This is a long non-coding RNA of Hemicordylus capensis (graceful crag lizard), 330 nucleotides long. RefSeq lists it as uncharacterized. Lineage: Eukaryota; Metazoa; Chordata; Lepidosauria; Squamata; Cordylidae. The record is from RefSeq and is a predicted model, not a curated record. The transcript is spliced from 4 exons.